This 205-nucleotide long non-coding RNA is filed under the name Elaeis guineensis (African oil palm). RNAcentral's name for it is "long non-coding RNA (EGUI_LNC048187)". Lineage: Eukaryota; Viridiplantae; Streptophyta; Magnoliopsida; Arecales; Arecaceae. The record is from RNAcentral.
CCGGAAAAGCUUCACCGACGACGGAGGUAAGCCUCCUCCCCUUCCUCUCUUCUCCCUCUUCCUUUUCGUGCUGAUGUGCACGCUCGUCGGUGACCGGAGUCGUUGGAUUUUAUUGCGAAAGUAACCUUCAUUUUUUUAUCAUUUUUUUUGGAUUACCGACGUCGGUGGUCACCGCCGACCACCAGUUUGGCCCUCUUCUUAUCGG